RNAcentral lists this ribosomal RNA (253 nucleotides) under uncultured bacterium. Its description in RNAcentral is "partial 16S ribosomal RNA". It matches the Rfam family "Bacterial small subunit ribosomal RNA", at positions 524 to 776 of the family's 1533-position model. The record is from RNAcentral.
UACGUAGGGGGCAAGCGUUGUCCGGAUUUAUUGGGCGGAAAGAGCGUGUAGGCGGCCAGGUAGGUCAGCUGUGAAAACUCGAGGCUCAACCUCGAGACGCCGGUUGAAACCAUCUGGCUAGAGUCCGGAAGAGGAGAGUGGAAUUCCCGGUGUAGCGGUGAAAUGCGCAGAUAUCGGGAAGAACACCCGUGGCGAAGGCGGUUCUCUGGGACGGUACUGACGCUGAGACGCGAAAGCGUGGGGAGCGAACAGG